RNAcentral lists this ribosomal RNA (253 nucleotides) under uncultured bacterium. RNAcentral's name for it is "partial 16S ribosomal RNA". It matches the Rfam family "Bacterial small subunit ribosomal RNA", at positions 524 to 776 of the family's 1533-position model. The record is from RNAcentral.
GACAGAGGGUGCAAACGUUGCUCGGAAUUACUGGGCGUAAAGCGCGUGUAGGCGGCUUUGCAAGUCGGGUGUGAAAGCCCUCAGCUCAACUGAGGAAGUGCGCCCGAAACUGCAGAGCUUGAGUGCCGGAGAGGGUGGCGGAAUUCCCCAAGUAGAGGUGAAAUUCGUAGAUAUGGGGAGGAACACCGGUGGCGAAGGCGGCCACCUGGACGGUAACUGACGCUGAGACGCGAAAGCGUGGGGAGCAAACAGG